This 301-nucleotide ribosomal RNA is filed under the name uncultured bacterium. Its description in RNAcentral is "partial 16S ribosomal RNA". It matches the Rfam family "Bacterial small subunit ribosomal RNA", at positions 509 to 809 of the family's 1533-position model. The record is from RNAcentral.
CAGUCGCCGCGGGAAUACGUAGGUGGCGAGCGUUGUCCGGAUUUAUUGGGCGUAAAGGGAGUGUAGGCGGUCUUUUAAGUCUGAUGUGAAAGCCCACGGCUCAACCGUGGAGGGUCAUUGGAAACUGGGAGACUUGAGUGCAGAAGAGGAGAGCGGAAUUCCAUGUGUAGCGGUGAAAUGCGUAGAUAUAUGGAGGAACACCAGUGGCGAAGGCGGCUCUCUGGUCUGUAACUGACACUGAGGCGCGAAAGCGUGGGGAGCAAACAGGAUUAGAUACCCGAGUAGUCCCUGUCUCUUAUAA